This 248-nucleotide ribosomal RNA is filed under the name uncultured bacterium. RNAcentral describes it as "partial 16S ribosomal RNA". It matches the Rfam family "Bacterial small subunit ribosomal RNA", at positions 15 to 244 of the family's 1533-position model. The record is from RNAcentral.
GAUCCUGGCUCAGGAUGAACGCUGGCGGCGUGCUUAACACAUGCAAGUCGAACGGAACUACUUUGAUGAGAUUCUUCGGAAAGGAUUUGAUUUAGUUUAGUGGCGGACGGGUGAGUAACGCGUGGGUAACCUGCCCUGUACAGGGGGAUAACAGUCAGAAAUGACUGCUAAUACCGCAUAAGACCACAGCACCGCAUGGUGCAGGGGUAAAAACUCCGGUGGUACAGGAUGGACCCGCGUCUGAUUAG